GGAAGUAAAAGUCGUAACUAGGUUUCCGUAGGUGAACCUGCGGAAGGAUCAUUAUUGUAUAACCGAGGUGCGAGGGCUGUCGCUGACCCGAAAGGUCGUGCACGCCCGAGUGCCCUCACACACAUCCAUCUCACCCCUAUGUGCACCACCGCGUGGGUCCCCCUUUGGCUUGUUCGGAGGGGGGCUUACGUUUUCACACAAACUUUGUAUGCAGUGUAGAAUGUAUUUUUUGUUUUUGCGAUCACGCAAUCAAUACAACUUUCAACAACGGAUCUCUUGGCUCUC
Molecule: unclassified non-coding RNA, 285 nt
Filed under: plant metagenome
Description: partial contains small subunit ribosomal RNA, internal transcribed spacer 1, and 5.8S ribosomal RNA
Rfam family: Eukaryotic small subunit ribosomal RNA (bases 1-54)
Source: RNAcentral